GGGUCUUUUGACAUGCUGUUCCAUACCAUGGUGACCAUGCUGCAGCAUGUCACAAAGGGCCCCUGCACACACUGCCCCCUGCGCUAUGGCCGCCUCCAGCCCACCCAAGAUGGCCAGGUUAGAAGGAAUCCCUCACCCCAAGUGUCCAAGACAGGCUGACAGAGUCUUUAGGAACGGCUCAAACCAUCAGCAAACGCUGCCCUGCUCUGCGGGCUCAGGGCAGCAGGAGCCCCCGCAGCUGGGAAGUGCACAGGGCCUUCCACAGAAGCUGGCACUGCCUCCUUGAGACAUGUCCCAGCUGGUGGCCAUCCUAAACCCGCAGGUGUGGCACGCACAAGGAAUGUGUGGGUCAGGGCACGAAUGCUGCUCUGACCCCUGGGGCCCGGGGAGCGCUGACACCAGCAGGAGAAUCAGGACCAUGAAGAGGAAAAAUCACAAAUAUUCUUUCUGCCCUCCGUAACCAAAGCUGUGCCAAACCAGAGAUGCUGCCUUCAAACUGACUCAAAUUCCAACCUAAACCGCUCACCUUCCAGACAACUCCUUCCCCAACACCCCACCAACACCAACACCCCCAAACUCCGGCACAGAAGCCCUCAACACCCCGUCAGGGGCCCCAGCUGCCCCCGUCCCUCUGCAGAGCUUUCCCACCCUCCAGCAGAUGCCCGGGUUCCCUGCACGUGCCAUGGGAUGGCACUCAGGAGGAUCUGCUCCGAGGCCUUCCCCUGGAGCGAGCUCAGGCUGCCAGGCCUACGGGUCCUGGAUCAUCCUUCCCACCGAGCCUUCCUGUGCACGGCUGUUCCAUCUGCACCUUUGGGCUCAGCUCGGACUUCUCCACCUAACCAGGAGUGUUGCAGCGCGCGUGUGCGGGGCGUGCUGGACGGCUGUGGCACAGGCGUGACUGUCCCCCUGCGAGCUCUGCAAUUCCCAGUUAUCGGCAGGUCUGGCGCAGGGACAGACAGCGAUGACACGGGUCUGGGUGUAGAACAAGAUGGAUUUAUUCCUGGGCUCCCCAGCAAGACUGGGGGGCGGGGGUGAACAGAAGUUUUUAUACAGCAACUCAGGAGGCGGGUGUAGGAAAGUGAACCAGUGAGGAUAUGGUAAGGGAGGAAUAUAAGGUGGGGCAAAGAGCUUAUGAGCCUAUCAGGGAAAACAGGGGAGGGGAAUAAUACAAAGUAAGGAGUGGGGUAUCGAGGGCAGCAAGACAGACACUGAACUCUCCGGAGAAAGGGGUAGGGAUAAGGAGGAUUGACAACUUGGAAGGGAGGAGCUUAGGGAAGGACUUGGGAAAAUUGGCAACUGGGAAAGGGAGUGGAUUAGGCAGGAGAACAGGGGGCAAACAUGGAUUCAAAGCAAAACACACCACAAUAUCUCCCUGUGUCUUUUUACAAAAGGGAGGAGAGUUCUGGGGUUCAAAACAAAUUAAUGAAUCUAUUAUAUAACAUAUCAUAUACAUAAUCUAUCAUAUAACAGAUUUUACCAUAUGACAAAUUAUUACAGCAACAGAAAAGAAUUCAAAAAUUAUCAGGAAAAAAUGAACUACUCAUGACCAUAACGCAUGGGGUAAGGAUCUUCUUCACAUAAGAAACUUAAUAUAAAAUGUACAAAGUUAUUAUAUACGGAAUCAGGGUCCGGAGGAGGAAUUGCAGUGGAAUUAUCUUGAAGUAAGACUGGGCUUGAAGCAUGAAUCACCGAGGAAUCUGCAGGUUCUGGCUUUCUGGGGUUUGAAAGUGAUUUUGGAGGUCACUCCUCCUGUAGGAUGUGAUCAGCAAAUGGAGAUGUGGUCUUGCUCAUUUUAUUUUAUGCUACUGUGGGUAUUAACUGGACAGAAUGAUUCCUCUCUCUAUAAUAUAUAACUUAACAAGCAGAUUAUUUUAAAGUAUCAAGAAUAUAAUGAACAAUUUUUUAGUCAAGAAAUUUAGUUGGGAAUGUGGGAAAAUGGUUAAACAAAAAUCAACAAAGAUCAUGAAGUUUAAAGAAGGUCUAAAGGUAAAUUAAUGAACUCUUUUUCCAAAGCGUACUGUGAAAACUUUAAAACAAUAUUGAAAUUAAAAGGAACAUUUGGUAGGGCAUAAUUAAGGAAAUGGAUGGGCAACUUGGGCAGUCACUCUUGAAUAAUUUUAUUCUUAUAUUAAUUCAAUUGUUUAUUUUUAUUUUCAUUAUGAAGAUGGUAGGUUGUUUUUUUUUUACUUUGGACAGUUUUUUCUUAUGUGAUCUUUCUUUUUACAGGUGAAACAAAUUUUUGACUUUGAUGGGCAAACACUUGCCUCAUGUCUCUUUUUUCUAUAUUUAAAACAUGUUUUAAAUUGUUCUUUUUGGUUCUGUUUUUAAUUUAUCUCAACUGUGGAAGCUUGUAGGUUAAUGAUCUUCAACAGUUUCCACAAAGGCUUCGAAGGGUCAAGGGCUUUGGGGAGAUUCUUCCAAAAAUUAAAUGCAAAUUUAAUUCAUAAUUGAUUCAGUUCAUAAGAAGAAAUAUGAUUACUUUGGCGACUGCCACAAGUGUUAUGGGGUGUCGAUAAGGGGACGAACCUGGGCGCCGCCAUCCUAGGGAGAGACAAAAUGGAGGAUUCCAGGUCUGGGUUUCCAGCUCCACCUUCCUCCGAAGGAGGUCUCUCCAUAAAAGAGGGUGAUCUCCCAAGAAGGAGGGUCCCCUGACGGGAGGCCCCAUAGGCGAUCCUCCCCCCAGAGGAGGAGCCGGAAUAAGGAAUGGGGGAUGGUCCAACCCCACCUUCCAACAAAGGGCACUGGCCCCCACACGCGAUUCGUGCAGGGGCCUCUGCGGAAGGGGUGGGGCUGGCGGGAAACUUGGGGCCGGAGAAGAAGGGUCCAGGCAGGAAAGGGUGUUCCAAGCGGUGUGGCCAUCACCACCUUGGAAAGGAGUGCCGAGUGCACUGCAGUUCCCUCAAGAGGUCUGAACAGUGUCCAGCGGGGUGCUUGGGGUGCUGUGGCCAACACCAUCCCCAAGGGAGGAUAGGGUAGGGUUUUGGGAAGUCUGAGGGACAGAGGGUACAGGGAGCUUCACAGAAGCCACAGGGGAACUUACAGGGGAGGAGCCCAACGCAGCUAAAUUUCAACGAGGUGCAUGGGUGUCAGGGGCUUCUUGCAUAAUAUUAGAUUCUCCCCUAUUCUUAUAAACGUGCCAUCAUUUGAUGGAAAAUUUCUGCCCUAUUCUUGUCUUUUCUACUCUCUCAGCCCUCAUGGGAUACCCCAGCCUUUGGGGGAGAGCCCAGCUUUGGGUAAGAGAGAGACUAGAAAAGCACCUCCUGAUAAGUGGAGACUACCCUCAGGGGAUGCCCCAACCUUUUGGGGAAGAGUGAGGAUCCAAGGGAGUGAUGGUGAAGAUCCCCUUGGAUCAGGAGGGUACCCUGUGGUCUCCGCAAGCUUGGCCACCAGCUUGUGGAGACUAAACCCACCCGCCAGGAAAAUACCCUGCUUCGGCUCACUUACCCUCAGAGCUGUCCUUUGCUUUUAGUUAGUUUUAGCUAGCUGAGGCAAAGAAGUUCCCUGGACUGUGGCUUUUUCUUUUCUUCAGACCUGCUCAAACCUGCUCUGGACUGAGCACCCAGAAGAGCACUGGCAGCUCACACCUGUGGCCCACCAGGCCCGGCCUGGGCCGCAGCAUUUCCAGUGCCGGAGGGACCGAUAAGAGACUGAGUGAGCCGAACUGCAGCCCGGGGAGGGGACUUUCUGAGUUUAUCUCUCUUUUGGAGCAGCAAGAAGUUUUAUUGUUUAAUAUUCUUUAGGUUUUCUUGCUUAAUAAAGAGUUUUUUCCAUUUUCCA
Molecule: non-coding RNA, 3777 nt
Organism: Taeniopygia guttata (zebra finch)
Lineage: Eukaryota; Metazoa; Chordata; Aves; Passeriformes; Estrildidae
Source: RefSeq, a predicted model, not a curated record